Non-coding RNA from Paramuricea clavata, 451 nucleotides. The record is from the annotation of a GenBank genome assembly. Lineage: Eukaryota; Metazoa; Cnidaria; Anthozoa; Malacalcyonacea; Plexauridae.
GGCAUUAUAAUAAAACAUAAAUUAUGAGUAAAUAUAGUUGUAAUUUCAUUUACAUUAAAUAACAUUUUUAUCAUUAUACAUUAGAUUAAUAAUCGAAGAUAACGAAGGUAAUAACUCCAGUUAUCAUUAUAAUUGGUUUGUUAAUACUGUAUGUAUUAUAUAUAAUAUCUAUAAUUACGCAGUUAACGAUUUAUUCCCUUUGUUUUUCGAACCGUGGAUCAAAGAUAAAAUGGUCGGGAAACUUAACAGAAGUCAUUGUGUUACGUUUUGGUCUGAGUUUAUGUCAGUGGUUUAUGUUACUGCACGGUCACGGUGAUUGAGCUCGUUAAUUUUUGAAGUAAUCGCCCAAUAGGGGUAGCUGAUGAAAUCAGGGUUACCACAUUGUUGAAUAAAUAAGCCAAACAUUGUUAUAAACGGCCCGUGGAUGUCUUUGUUUAACAAAAGGUUAUGA